UAGUCUACGCCGUAAACGAUGGAUACUAGUUGUUUGGUUUUCGGACUGAGUGACUAAGCGAAAGUGAUAAGUAUCCCACCUGGGGAGUACGUUCGCAAGAAUGAAACUCAAAGGAAUUGACGGGGGCCCGCACAAGCGGUGGAGCAUGUGGUUUAAUUCGAUGAUACGCGAGGAACCUUACCAGGGCUUAAAUGUAGUAUGACAGGCUGAGAGAUCGGUUUUUCUUCGGACAUAUUACAAGGUGCUGCAUGGUUGUCGUCAGCUCGUGCCGUUGAGGUGUCAGGUUAAGUCCUAUAACGAGCGCAACCCCUGUUGUUAGUUACCAGCACGUAGUGGUGGGGACUCUAGCAAGACUGCCGGUGCAAACCGUGAGGAAGGUGGGGAUGACGUCAAAUCAUCACGGCCCUUACGUCCUGGGCCACACACGUGCUACAAUGGCCGGUACAGAGAGCAGCCACUGGGUGACCAGGCGCGAAUCUAUAAAACCGGUCACAGUUCGGAUCGGAGUCUGCAACUCGA
RNAcentral lists this ribosomal RNA (519 nucleotides) under uncultured bacterium. Its description in RNAcentral is "bacterial SSU rRNA". It matches the Rfam family "Bacterial small subunit ribosomal RNA", at positions 791 to 1315 of the family's 1533-position model. The record is from RNAcentral.